RNAcentral lists this ribosomal RNA (427 nucleotides) under uncultured bacterium. RNAcentral describes it as "partial 16S ribosomal RNA". It matches the Rfam family "Bacterial small subunit ribosomal RNA", at positions 354 to 796 of the family's 1533-position model. The record is from RNAcentral.
GUGGGGAAUAUUGCACAAUGGGCGAAAGCCUGAUGCAGCAACGCCGCGUGAGCGAUGAAGGCCUUUGGGUCGUAAAGCUCUGUCCUUGGGGAAGAAACAAAUGACGGUACCCUUGGAGGAAGCCCCGGCUAACUACGUGCCAGCAGCCGCGGUAAUACGUAGGGGGCAAGCGUUAUCCGGAAUUAUUGGGCGUAAAGAGUGCGUAGGUGGUCUUGUAAGCGCGGGGUGAAAGGCAAUAGCUCAACUAUUGUAAGCCCUGCGAACUGUGAGACUUGAGUGCAGGAGAGGAAAGCGGAAUUCCUAGUGUAGCGGUGAAAUGCGUAGAUAUUAGGAGGAACACCAGUGGCGAAGGCGGCUUUCUGGACUGUAACUGACACUGAGGCACGAAAGCGUGGGUAGCAAACAGGAUUAGAAACCCUUGUAGUCC